Oryza sativa Indica Group (long-grained rice) is the source of this 211-nucleotide microRNA precursor. It matches the Rfam family "MIR812 microRNA precursor family". The record is from Rfam. NCBI's taxonomy places the organism in Eukaryota, Viridiplantae, Streptophyta, Magnoliopsida, Poales, Poaceae.
AAUAAACGCAGUUUUGCACUGUUUAUGUCCAACGUUUGAUUGUUUGUCUUAUUUAAAUUUUUUUUUUAUGAUUAGCAUUUUUAUUGUUAUUAGAUGAUAAAAUAUGAAUAAUACUGUAUGUGUAACUAUUUUUUAAAAGUUUAUUUUCAUAAAAUUUUCAAAUAAGAUGGACGGUUAAACGUUGGACACGGAUACCAUGGCUACACCUACU